RNAcentral lists this ribosomal RNA (336 nucleotides) under uncultured bacterium. RNAcentral's name for it is "partial 16S ribosomal RNA". It matches the Rfam family "Bacterial small subunit ribosomal RNA", at positions 338 to 691 of the family's 1533-position model. The record is from RNAcentral.
CCUACGGGAGGCAGCAGUGGGGGAUAUUGCACAAUGGGGGAAACCCUGAUGCAGCAACGCCGCGUGUGGGAAGAAGGUGUUCGGAUUGUAAACCACUGUUCGUGGGGAAGAAAAUGACGGUAACCAAGGAGAAAGCUGCGGCGAACUACGUGCCAGCAGCCGCGGUAAUACGUAGGGAGCAAGCGUGGUCCGGAUUGACUGGGUGUAAAGGGUGCGGAGGCGGUCUUGCAAGUCUGACGUGACAACCACAGGCUCAACCUUUGGACUGCGUUUGAAACUGUGGGGCUUGAGUGAAGUAGAGGUCGGCGCACUUCCCGGUGUAGCGGUCACCUGCUU